This 73-nucleotide transfer RNA is filed under the name Apaloderma vittatum (bar-tailed trogon). It matches the Rfam family "tRNA". From Rfam's summary of the family: Transfer RNA (tRNA) molecules are approximately 80 nucleotides in length. Their secondary structure includes four short double-helical elements and three loops (D, anti-codon, and T loops). Lineage: Eukaryota; Metazoa; Chordata; Aves; Trogoniformes; Trogonidae. The record is from Rfam by way of RNAcentral.
AGCCCGUUAGCUCUGACAGUUGAGUGUAGUGCUAACAACACUGAGGUCGCGGGUUCGAUUCCCGUUCGGUCCC